RNAcentral lists this long non-coding RNA (1452 nucleotides) under Gadus morhua (Atlantic cod). Its description in RNAcentral is "lncRNA (ENSGMOG00000028740.1)". Lineage: Eukaryota; Metazoa; Chordata; Actinopteri; Gadiformes; Gadidae. The record is from RNAcentral.
AGGCUGUCGCCAGGCGUAGGUUGUGCGAGGGCUCCGUGUCUACCAGGGGGCUGGGCGACGCGCGGGUGUGGUUCGGGGUGCACUCACACCGGAUCUACAAGUCCCUGUAUGGCGCGCGGGACCAAGAGAGUCGAACCUAUGUGGCUUGGGUCAGGACGCAGAAGGUGGGAGCUACUGCGUCAAGGAUGGGGACCCUGAAGCAGUAUGUGCUGGCCCGGGACGCUGAGCCCACAGCAGCACCGGAGCCAGGACAUGUCCUCCCACGGCCAGGCGUCUCCUACUCUGAUCCGACCGACGCCGAACUGCUCGCCGCUGCCGACGAGGUCGACCCUCCCAGCAUGUCCAGGGACGCCCCGCCAGCCGCGGCCCCGCUGGAAGGACCAACACCAGGUCCAGGACCAGGACCGAUGGCCACGAGGCCUGCCUCCGGCAAAGUGGUUUGUAUAAUGUGUGUGUGUGUGUGUGUAUAUGAUGUGUGUGUUUAUGUGUGCCUGUCUGCUGAACAUUCACACCCGCUAACUGUGUGUGUCUGCUGCGUGUGUGUUUCAGCUGCUUCCCCUCAGCUGGAGGAAGACGCUGCCUGAGGAGCAGCAGGAGUGGGUGGGCCGGGCGCUGUUCCGCAGGGACCCCAGCAGCGGGAAGGCUGUGCUCACCACACCGCCCCGACUGUGGUGGUACCCACCAGGCGCCCGGCUCCUCUACACGCAGCCCCCCGCCACAGCCCACGCCUUCUUCCAGCGCCCCUUCUUCCUCUGGCUUCCGUAUCGGAUGUGGGCGUACCACCUCAAGUGCCCCGCCGAUGGGGGUAAGCUGAUGGGCGCUGGCCUAUACAAGACCGUGCGGAGGGUCUUGGACAGGAGCGGGUGGUAUUACAUGGCCACAGAGUGCCUUCAGUGCCCCUCCUGCGGCAAGAAGGUGGCGGGCUGGUCCCAGGACAUCCUGGAGCACCUGGACGUUGCUCACCGCGAGGAAUUCCCGGCCGUUCUGACCUACAAGUAUGUCACUUUUAGUCAUUCUGCGUUUACCCAGCGUUCUGUCGCUCGUGGUUAACUACGGUUAACUGUCUGUGUUCUCUGUUUCCAGGUUGUCCUGCGACAGAGCGGUGAUAGCGAUGCUCAAGGAGCGCACCUUUGGCACCGGCGUGUCUCGCCUCCGUGCCUCCCUGGUGGAGCAGCACUCCAGGGACUGGAUGCAGCACUCCAUCGCCUACCUGUCGGUGCUCCGCAAGCUGAGAGGACCCGGAGCGGCCCAGAAGGACGCCGUGUCCCUGCCGACCUUCGUCAAGGUGCCCGGGCUCACCUGGUUUGGUCGGGUGUACGUGCUGGAGGCCGUGACCAGGCUGGACGAGACCAAGGCCAGGGUGACGUCGAUCUUCGGCGACAUCCUAAAGAUGGACUCCACCAAGAAGGUGAGGUUUCUCUCUCCGUGUGCCGUCGCCUCGUAUGACGUCUG